RNAcentral lists this ribosomal RNA (468 nucleotides) under uncultured bacterium. RNAcentral's name for it is "partial 16S ribosomal RNA". It matches the Rfam family "Bacterial small subunit ribosomal RNA", at positions 28 to 507 of the family's 1533-position model. The record is from RNAcentral.
GACGAACGCUGGCGGCGUGCUUAACACAUGCAAGUCGAACGGAAAGGCCCUGCUUUUGUGGGGUGCUCGAGUGGCGAACGGGUGAGUAACACGUGAGUAACCUGCCCUUGACUUUGGGAUAACUUCAGGAAACUGGGGCUAAUAUCGGAUAGGAGCUCCUGCAGCAUGGUGGGGGUUGGAUAGUUUCGGCGGUUGGGGAUGGACGCGCGGCUUAUCAGCUUGUUGGUGGGGGAGUGGCUUACCAAGGCUUUGACGGGUAGCCGGCCUGUGAGGGUGACCGGCCACAAUGGGACUGAGGUACGGCGCAGACUCGUACGGGAGGCAGCAGUGGGAAGUAUUGCACAGUGAGAGGAAGCCGGAUGCAGCAGCGCCGCGUGCGGGAUGACGGCCUUCGGGUUGUGAACCGCUUUCGCCUGUGACGAAGCGUGAGUGACGGUAAUGGAUGAAGAAGCACCGGCUAACUACGUG